This 291-nucleotide ribosomal RNA is filed under the name uncultured bacterium. RNAcentral's name for it is "partial 16S ribosomal RNA". It matches the Rfam family "Bacterial small subunit ribosomal RNA", at positions 773 to 1060 of the family's 1533-position model. The record is from RNAcentral.
GUGGAUUAGAUACCCUAGUAGUCCACGCUGUAAACGAUGAAUACUAGGUGUGGGAGGACUGACCCCUUCCGUGCCGCAGUUAACACAAUAAGUAUUCCACCUGGGGAGUACGACCGCAAGGUUGAAACUCAAAGGAAUUGACGGGGGCCCGCACAAGCGGUGGAUUAUGUGGUUUAAUUCGACGCAACGCGAAGAACCUUACCAGGAUUUGACAUCCUACUAACGAAGUAGAGAUACAUUAGGUGCCCUUCGGGGAAAGUAGAGACAGGUGGUGCACGGCCGUCGCCAACU